GACUUCCAAGAUGAAAGCUCUUGAUGGCCUUGUGGUCUGGAAAAAGAAAAGGACGACUGCAGGACCUCUCGUGGUGUGCUGGUUGAACAUCUUGCCCAUGAUGAAGGGGAAAGAAAAUAGGGCUGCUGCCGAUACUUAGUGCAGAUUGCUCGCUGUUCGAUGGAGUCGCUCUGUCCCCGGUGUCAUGGUGGCUGCUGUCAGAUGGCGUGGGCAAGCUGAAGGCCGCCACCUCCUGGAGCAAGGAAGCAGCUCCAGCAAGCAGAAAACACGAGGGGAGACAUGAGCAGAGACAUGACGGUUGCACACUUGGUCACAUCGUUUAGCAGACUCUCCACCACGUCAUCAACCUGGCCCUUAGACGGUUCUGAUCAUGUGGAGCACAGUGUGACAAACAGCCAUCAGCCAGUAAAAUCUUCUGAAAGCUGUGGAACUCUUCAAUUAGGACGACAUUACGAGCAAAAUGCCGCACGUGGACCAGCACAGAUGAAAAUGUACGCAUUCUAUCACAUCUUUUACCAUUUGUGGGUGUUUGCUGGUCAAUGAACUAUGAACUACAGUCCACACUACAACAAAGUAACUAAGAGGACCAGAAGAUAGAG
This is a long non-coding RNA of Syngnathoides biaculeatus (alligator pipefish), 599 nucleotides long. RefSeq lists it as uncharacterized. NCBI's taxonomy places the organism in Eukaryota, Metazoa, Chordata, Actinopteri, Syngnathiformes, Syngnathidae. The record is from RefSeq and is a predicted model, not a curated record. The transcript is spliced from 4 exons.